Molecule: ribosomal RNA, 400 nt
Filed under: uncultured bacterium
Lineage: Bacteria
Description: bacterial SSU rRNA
Rfam family: Bacterial small subunit ribosomal RNA
Source: RNAcentral
GACGAACGCUGGCGGCGUGCUUAACACAUGCAAGUCGAGCGAGGCCCUUCCUUCGGGAAGGUGUCCUAGCGGCGAACGGGUGAGUAACACGUGGGCAACCUGCCCUCAGCUCUGGGAUAACUCCGGGAAACCGGGGCUAAUACCGGAUACGACCUCUAAGGGCAUCCGAAGAGGUGGAAAGUUUUUCGGCUGAGGAUGGGCCCGCGGCCUAUCAGCUUGUUGGUGGGGUGACGGCCUACCAAGGCGACGACGGGAGCCGGCCUGAGAGGGUGACCGGCCACACUGGGACUGAGACACGGCCCAGACUCCUACGGGAGGCAGCAGUGGGGAAUAUUGCGCAAUGGGCGAAAGCCUGACGCAGCGACGCCGCGUGAGGGACGAAGGCCUUCGGUUGUAACCU